Molecule: small RNA, 30 nt
Filed under: Bombyx mori (domestic silkworm)
Lineage: Eukaryota; Metazoa; Arthropoda; Insecta; Lepidoptera; Bombycidae
Description: ovarian small RNA-35003
Source: RNAcentral
UGGGAUUUAUACCCCCUGCGCUGUACUUGC